RNAcentral lists this long non-coding RNA (4460 nucleotides) under Sus scrofa (pig). Its description in RNAcentral is "lncRNA (ENSSSCG00005033658.1)". The record is from RNAcentral. Lineage: Eukaryota; Metazoa; Chordata; Mammalia; Artiodactyla; Suidae.
CAGGGACAGAGCCAGUCUUGCAGGUUUCCUGGGAACUGCUGGUGCUGCUGGGUUUAGCAGCAGCUUUCAGAGAAAAGCUUGGUGGAGCCCAUGGAGUCCUCUGUUCUGGGGUAUUUUUCUUGGCUCCCUGAGGCCUUAGGCAGUGUGGUCUCUCCUCCUUGUGACUCUGUCUGGGGUCUGUGCCAAGUUUAAGCCCUCUUCCCUGAAGAACAGGACACCACUGCAUCUGCAUCUGGCACAAAGGGGACAUGCUCAGAUGGAAGAAAUCCUCCCCCCCGCCCAGACAUCUGGGCACCCCAGUGUCAGACCCAGGCACUUCUGGGGUUCGAGGGGCCAUAGGCACAAGUGUGGGAAGAUUGGAAGGACCUGGCUCUGGUCAUUUCCUCUGCUGGGUUUUUAGCCCUCCCUGUUCUUGCUGAAGAGCCUCUCCCUGGGUUAUUCUCCCUGACUGUGCAGUGAGGGUGCUACUGUUGCCGGAAUGGCCGCCAGGGUUCCUGUCUGGAGGCCUCAGAUGUGGUCACAGUCUUGUCCUCCAGUGCCCCCCAGUGUAUGUCUAGGCUCAUUGCGCCGUGACUGCUCAGCCUUUCCCUAGUUCCCUUAAACAUGGUAGACACUGCAUUCCUACCACAUGCAUUACCCUUUCCUUAGGGCUCUGAGAGACACCGUGCUGGCCCUAAAAAGAAUAAACUCUUCCUGGGAGCUGAAGGUAUACCUACCAGGGGACACUGAGAUCAGCAUGUAAUCUUAGAAAAACGUGGGAUUGUUAUUUGCAAUAAGAAAGAUAUAUUGGGUCUUUGUCCAUUGUUCUUGGCACAAAGCUCCUAAAAUCUUUGGAACGUCCUAAUUGAUGAGAGUGAUUAAGGUGUCUGGCUAGUCUAGCGAGAUGACUUUUUGAAUGCACUUUUGGUUGGGGCUGGUUUCCAAGAGAACCAGUCAUGAGAUUAGAGGGUUGAAAGGUUUCAGUCCCCUCCUGCUCCCAUCCCAGAGGUGGAGAAGAGGGGCUGGAGAUUGAAUUAAUCGCCAAUGGCUAAUGAUUUCAUCAGUCAUGACUUAUUAAUGAAACCUCCAUAAUGGAACUUCCCAUCUAUAGCCAGUCAGUCCAAACAAAGCACAGGUAACAAGCUAGGCUUGUGACUUUUGAAGUUGAGGCAGGGGAGGUCUUGUAGGACUGAACCAUUAACCUGUGUAAUUUGAUGCUAUCUUUUGGGGAUGGAGUCAGAGUUGAGUUGAAUUGUAGGUGCCUGGGAAUUGCAUGAUGGUAUAGAGGAAAGCCUCCCCCCCUGCCUUCCCCAACACACCUGUUAGAGUUGACUUCUAGAACCCUUUUCGUUGGAGUCAGGAGUGAGAUUUGCUAACUUGCCCCUGGCUUACAGAAACGUGGUUUGGGCAGAAAGAAUGAAAUAGCGUGGAAAGAAGAACUUUUGAUUCCUAGGCAGCCACAUGGUCACCUGUGGCAUGGAGCAGGUACUGUGUUAAGGUCAAUUACCAAAGGUAAAAAUCACCAGUGGAAUUUAGAGAUAGAUCCACCUCCUAUAGAGUUGAAUCACUGGAUGUAUAAGGAAAUGCAAAAGGAUAAGCAUACUCAACAUACAAUCAUGUGAUUCUUGUUUAUCUGCAAUAGCUAAAAUAAAAGUAGAAGAGAAUGCUGCUUUGGGCCUUGAUGCUAAACCAAGCUCAGACGUGAACCCAUCUAAGCUCUGGCUGCUAGCCUCCAAGCUGCCUAGACAGGGAAAAAUUAUGCAGGGGCAACAGAAAGUACCUCGAAGUCCUCUGGUUAUCAAGAAAGUAGUCAGAGUGGGGGAGGGCAAAAACCAUGAAGCUACUGAAAACGAAGAGUGUAAUGUGAGGGAAUUGUCUCAUUUUGUGGGUAUCAUCAGCUUCCUGGGGAACUUUUACUGAAAUAGACUCUAAGAAUAACUAAUUCAGGAGCCUUGUCUUUGGUUUUGAGUGCUACGGAGUAGAGUAGCAUAUUUGGAUUGGUACAGAACCCACAGCUCAUGAUGGAACAAUCACAGAUGUCUGUAUAUGAUCUGGACACACUGGAGGUUAUUUCCAAAGGGAACUCGUAAGGUCUGCUUACCCUGAGAAGCAGGACUGCCCACCUCCCCCAUGAAUGCCAAGUGGAAACCCCAGUCAACAGCUGGUGUGCUUUGCGUGCAAGCCCUGUGUGACUGUUACAGGAUGACUGGGAUGGUCACCGGCUGAAUGUGCCUAUUUCUCAGGUCACAGCAAGUGUUGUGGGUAAGGGGACCCCUUUCACAUGGGCACCCCCAAAUAACCUUUUUGCUGCAAAACCAAAGGAUAGUUUGGGAGGCCUUAACUGCCAUUGGAUGGGGAGGGCACAGACCCUGGCUGAGUCUUCCUAGCUUAGGGAAUGUCUUGAAAGACAGAGGAAAGAGUCUUUCCCCUUCAGAUCCCAGGAAUCCCAAAACAGAGACUCAAGAGGAAUCUGGCAGUGAGCAUGGAGUCAGGUGAACUCAACAGGCUCCCAGAGUCAGAAGCACAAAGGGAGCCCUUCAGAGAUCCAGCCUGACCCAGUCUCUGAAGUAGCUUGUCCAUAGAGAAGAGGUGCUAAGUCUCUGUAAGGCCCACAGGUACCUAAUCCAUGCAAGGUGUCUUAUCACCACUGGUCUGGUGGGAGAGACACAUAAAAUUAUCCCCACUUCACAGAUGGGCUCAAAGAAGUCAAGUACAAGGUCACACAACUGGUAAGUGGCCAAGCAGGAUGUCAAGCCCUUCUGAGAUCCCACAACUGACUGCCCCUUAAUAACAACCACAACUCACCCUGGGUGUGAGGUUGUGAUCUCAUACAUUGUUUAAUUCAUCCUCAUGUCAACCCCAUGGAGCUGCAGGUGUUAUUUCCAGUUUGCAGAUAAGAAGAUAAGAAAUAACAUGCCCAGGGCUCAUUGUCUAGUGGGUGCCUGAGCUAAGCAUUAAAAUUGAAGCACAGAUGUGCCUGGUAACCCAGGACCUUCUAAGACAUCACAAGGUUGUAGUAUGUGUCCCCUCUUAAUGUUAAUGGGGGAGUGAGAGUUUUCCUGGAAGAGCUGCCCUUCUAUCUCCCAGCCAAAGCUGGGAAGCCCCUAAGCCCCUCCCCAUCUCCCAGGACCUGCCCUGUCACAUGCAAUCAGCGUGCCCUCCAAGGAAGUCAAGUGCCACACGCUGUCUCCGCCCCCACCAGCAGGCCUAGCUGGUACUACUGUAACUUCUGUUCCUUCUCCCUUGUCACUUCCUGUGAUUACUGCAAGGACCCCUCAAUACAUCUGGCUGAAAAUCAGCCCUGCCGUUUGCCCUGAGCACCUUCUCCCCCUAGAGCUGAGCAUUUAUGGGGUAUCCCCUCUAUUUCGAGGGCUUGCCUAUGAGCAAGAUACAACCCAGGGCAGCAGGUAAGAAAGAUGCUCAUCCAGAGACAGGGCGGCAGUGACCUCCACUCCCUGAGCCAGGAAUCCCAGGAUGCCUGGGUGCCCCACAUGCAAGAGGCAGUGCAGAGCCAGUGUUCAUGCAAAACCAGGGCUCAUGCUUACUGGGGUCGUCCCUGCUAAGCACUGGACCUCCUCUCUUCCAUAUGAGUGUAACCAGUGAAGGCAAAAUUAACAUGUUCCUGUUUUAUAGAUGAGAACAGGGUGGCUCAACAAGCUCAGGUGAUUUGCUCAAGGGUUCAAAAGCCUGAAUCCCUGGGUGUGGGUUUCACCAUCUCAGGAUCAAGAAGCAGACAUAAGUGUUCUGCCUGCAGCUCUGAGGGCACCCAGCCUCCUCCCCACCCCAGCUCCACACUCGGCCCUUCAGGAGAUGAUGACAGUUGGCAGGAGGAAGAAGAGGAAGGAGAACGAGGCAGCUAGGUUGGGGGAGAUGUUGAACAUGGGAGUUCACAAGACCUCACCCCUUCCUGUCCUGGGCACUGUCUGCUGAGGUCUGGCCAAGGUCAAGUUGCAGGUGGUGGCAAGAGAUUGAAAUUCACAGUACAAGGACAGCAAGCAUCCAUUCCUGUGUGGCUGUUUCUCUGGGCUCUACUUCAGGUCAGGCUGACCCCGAGCACUUCGUGUGGGCAGACAGUGCAGCUGCAGGUUUACUGUGUGUACAAGGAGCCGUCCAGCUGGCAGACGCACUUUCUCAUGACUCCACACUGUGGACCUUCCUUAAUGGAGCUGCACACGCUCAAGGAAGCAGGUAAAAGCCUGCAUUGAAAAUUCAUGGCUCUGCAGCUGCCUCAUGGCACUGUUCUGGGUGCCCAGAUGUCACAGUCAGCACAAGGGUGGGGUGGGUCAUGUCGCAGCAUCCAACAGGAAGAUAGAAAUGAUUUUCCAAAAAGGGUUUUAGUAUAAGAAACAUGACCUUACAGGAAGCCAGCUGUAUGGAUGAGGAAGCGGAGGUCACAGUUCCGUUUGCUUUGUGUCAGUUUAGGAGUCACGCACUUUUAAAAUCAAGGUAAACACAAAGCAAAACAAAACAAAAACAGAAUG